UACGUAGGGUGCGAGCGUUAAUCGGAAUUACUGGGCGUAAAGCGUGCGCAGGCGGUUUUGUAAGCCAGAUGUGAAAUCCCCGGGCUUAACCUGGGAACUGCGUUUGAAACUGGGAGACUUGAGUGUGGCAGAGGGGGGUGGAAUUCCACGUGUAGCAGUGAAAUGCGUAGAUAUGUGGAGGAACACCAAUGGCGAAGGCAGCCCCCUGGGUCAACACUGACGCUCAUGCACGAAAGCGUGGGGAGCAAACAGG
RNAcentral lists this ribosomal RNA (253 nucleotides) under uncultured bacterium. RNAcentral's name for it is "partial 16S ribosomal RNA". It matches the Rfam family "Bacterial small subunit ribosomal RNA", at positions 524 to 776 of the family's 1533-position model. The record is from RNAcentral.